CUUAGCAUAUCAAUAAGCGGAGGAAAAGAAACUAACAAGGAUUCCCCUAGUAACUGCGAGUGAAGCGGGAAAAGCUCAAAUUUAAAAUCUGGCGGUCUUUGGCCCGUCCGAGUUGUAGUCUGGAGAAGCGUCUUCCGCGCUGGACCGUGUAUAAGUCUCUUGGAACAGAGCGUCAUAGAGGGUGAGAAUCCCGUCUUUGACACGGACUACCAGUGCUUUGUGAUGCGCUCUCAAAGAGUCGAGUUGUUUGGGAAUGCAGCUCAAAAUGGGUGGUGAAUUCCAUCUAAAGCUAAAUAUUGGCGAGAGACCGAUAGCGAACAAGUACCGUGAGGGAAAGAUGAAAAGCACUUUGGAAAGAGAGUUAAACAGUACGUGAAAUUGCUGAAAGGGAAACGCUUGAAGUCAGUCGCGUUGUCCGGGACUCAGCCUUGCUUCGGCUUGGUGCACUUUCCGGAUGACGGGCCAGCAUCGAUUUUGACCGCCGGAAAAGGGCUGGAGGAAUGUGGCACCUUCGGGUGUGUUAUAGCCUCCAGUCGCAUACGGCGGUUGGGAUCGAGGAACGCAGCACGCCUUAUGGCGGGGGGUUUACCCUACCUUCGUGCUUAGGAUGCUGGCAUAAUGGCUUUAAACGACCCGUCUUGAAACACGGACCAAGGAGUCUAACAUGCCUGCGAGUGUUUGGGUGGAAAACCCGAGCGCGUAAUGAAAGUGAAAGUUGAGACCUCUGUCGUGGAGGGCAUCGACGCCCGGACCUGACGUUCUCUGACGGAUCCGCGGUAGAGCAUGUAUGUUGGGACCCGAAAGAUGGUGAACUAUGCCUGAAUAGGGUGAAGCCAGAGGAAACUCUGGUGGAGGCUCGUAGCGAUUCUGACGUGCAAAUCGAUCGUCAAAUUUGGGUAUAGGGGCGAAAGACUAAUCGAACCAUCUAGUAGCUGGUUCCUGCCGAGCCUCCCCCCCUCCGGGUUA
This 966-nucleotide ribosomal RNA is filed under the name Cubamyces sp. Its description in RNAcentral is "Leiotrametes sp. partial large subunit ribosomal RNA". It matches the Rfam family "Eukaryotic large subunit ribosomal RNA", at positions 33 to 981 of the family's 3401-position model. The record is from RNAcentral. Lineage: Eukaryota; Fungi; Basidiomycota; Agaricomycetes; Polyporales; Polyporaceae.